Long non-coding RNA from Drosophila mauritiana, 528 nucleotides. RefSeq lists it as uncharacterized. Lineage: Eukaryota; Metazoa; Arthropoda; Insecta; Diptera; Drosophilidae. The transcript has 3 exons. The record is from RefSeq and is a predicted model, not a curated record.
GUUCACUUCAAGUUCCUAACUCCUGGCUUACUACAAUUUGGCUAACAUUCUUGCCAUAUAACUCAAAGAGAAAAAUUCAUCACCGCAAUAUGCGCAACACACACCAAGAGAAAAAAAAAUUGAAGAAAACUCUGGGAAAAAGAAGUGGCUGGUGGCAGUGGCAGGAAAAUUGUCAUAAAGGUGCAACUGACAACAGCAGAAGAGGCGAUGGCGAGGUUAGUAAAUUUCAAUUUAUAUGCAGAGAGAACAGUGAGUGAAAAGGCAGACGCAGGACACAGGACAUGGGGCACUACAGGACGAGAAUGAGGAUGAGGACACACACAGGACGCAGAGUCAAGGAGCCAGCGCGCAAAAAGUGUCAACCGACGCAAGUGGAAAACGCAAUUUCAUUAGACAAAUUGAAAAAAAUAAGUGCAAGCGUACACAACAACAAGAUCUAAGGACCAUGCGAGAGGAGCCUCUUUAUCCUUUAUGUAUAUAUGUACUAUAUAUCGUUCUAUGUAUAAACACUAUGUACCAAGAAGACUG